RNAcentral lists this ribosomal RNA (93 nucleotides) under Schoenocaulon tigrense. RNAcentral's name for it is "5.8S ribosomal RNA". It matches the Rfam family "5.8S ribosomal RNA", at positions 11 to 103 of the family's 154-position model. From Rfam's summary of the family: 5.8S ribosomal RNA (5.8S rRNA) is a component of the large subunit of the eukaryotic ribosome. It is transcribed by RNA polymerase I as part of the 45S precursor that also contains 18S and 28S rRNA. RNAcentral also lists the same sequence under 7 other names. The record is from RNAcentral. Lineage: Eukaryota; Viridiplantae; Streptophyta; Magnoliopsida; Liliales; Melanthiaceae.
AACGGAUAUCUUGGCUCUCGCAUCGAUGAAGAACGUUGCGAAAUGUGAUGCUUGGUGUGAAUUGCAGGACCCCGCGAACCAUCGAGUCUUCGA